This 292-nucleotide ribosomal RNA is filed under the name uncultured bacterium. Its description in RNAcentral is "partial 16S ribosomal RNA". It matches the Rfam family "Bacterial small subunit ribosomal RNA", at positions 505 to 796 of the family's 1533-position model. The record is from RNAcentral.
GUGUCAGCAGCCGCGGUAACACGGGGGGAGCAAGCGUUGUUCGGAAUCACUGGGCGUAAAGGGCGUGUAGGCGGUCAAGUAAGUGGAAUGUGAAAGCCCCCGGCUUACCCGGGGAUCUGCAUCCCAAACUGCUUGGCUUGAGUACGGGAGAGGAUAGGGGAAUUCCUGGUGUAGCGGUGAAAUGCGUAGAUAUCAGGAGGAACACCGGUGGCGAAGGCGCCUAUCUGGCCCGAUACUGACGCUGAGGCGCGAAAGCUAGGGGAGCAAACGGGAUUAGAUACCCCGGUAGUCC